UGAAUUCAGACAGGAUGGCACCUAAAUCUUUUCAAGAAAAGAGGCAACUUUUGAGCAUCGGACAAAGUAGGCGGAGCCCCUGGGGCGUUACGACUCUGUUGCUGGGGGGUUUAGAAAGUGAAAAUAAACACAGUGUGUCCAGUGCGGAGAGCUCGCGCCCGCGAGAGAGAGCAACAAUGCGCGCGCUCGACUGAUCUUUAUUGGUCUGAUGAUGUAGGAGAUGUGAGGUAGGUCUCAGCCGACGAGGCUCGAAGAGCCCGGUAUCAUUUGCGAGAAGAUCACCAAUAUCCACCUACGCUCUGAAGAGGGUGAGGAUCGUUUUUGUCGGCUCUAUCUUUUUUGGGGGGAGGGGGGUAUCAGUUUAUUUUCGGUAACUGAU
Non-coding RNA from Caenorhabditis elegans, 379 nucleotides. The record is from Ensembl. Lineage: Eukaryota; Metazoa; Nematoda; Chromadorea; Rhabditida; Rhabditidae.